Molecule: ribosomal RNA, 700 nt
Filed under: Streptomyces sp. ME-3
Lineage: Bacteria; Bacillati; Actinomycetota; Actinomycetes; Kitasatosporales; Streptomycetaceae
Description: bacterial SSU rRNA
Rfam family: Bacterial small subunit ribosomal RNA
Source: RNAcentral
UCGAACGAUGAAGCCCUUCGGGGUGGAUUAGUGGCGAACGGGUGAGUAACACGUGGGCAAUCUGCCCUUCACUCUGGGACAAGCCCUGGAAACGGGGUCUAAUACCGGAUAACACUCCUGCCUGCAUGGGUGGGGGUUAAAAGCUCCGGCGGUGAAGGAUGAGCCCGCGGCCUAUCAGCUUGUUGGUGGGGUAAUGGCCCACCAAGGCGACGACGGGUAGCCGGCCUGAGAGGGCGACCGGCCACACUGGGACUGAGACACGGCCCAGACUCCUACGGGAGGCAGCAGUGGGGAAUAUUGCACAAUGGGCGAAAGCCUGAUGCAGCGACGCCGCGUGAGGGAUGACGGCCUUCGGGUUGUAAACCUCUUUCAGCAGGGAAGAAGCGAAAGUGACGGUACCUGCAGAAGAAGCGCCGGCUAACUACGUGCCAGCAGCCGCGGUAAUACGUAGGGCGCAAGCGUUGUCCGGAAUUAUUGGGCGUAAAGAGCUCGUAGGCGGCUUGUCACGUCGGAUGUGAAAGCCCGAGGCUUAACCUCGGGUCUGCAUUCGAUACGGGCUAGCUAGAGUGUGGUAGGGGAGAUCGGAAUUCCUGGUGUAGCGGUGAAAUGCGCAGAUAUCAGGAGGAACACCGGUGGCGAAGGCGGAUCUCUGGGCCAUUACUGACGCUGAGAGAGCGAAAGCGUGGGGAGCGAACAGGAU